ACAUUUUUCGCAAUAAAAUGUCAAAAUAGGGUUAAAGAUGUCAAAAAUGAAAGGUAAUGACAUUUUGCAUAAUAACAUUAAAAAGUAAAGAUGUUUUGUUUUAAUGAUACUAUAAUUAUUCAAGUUUAGCAAUAUACUUGAAAUCACAAUAAAUUGUUUUGCAAUCAAAGUUAGGUUCUAAAAAUAAUACCAGAAUUAAAUCCACGUUAAUUAUUUCCAAAUUACGUUAAUGUGAAAAUGGUGUAUUGAAUUCAUUUUUGUUGUCAACUUUGCGUUUCUCGAUGCCUUCGAAAUAGAAUACCAAAUCUCUUAAAGAGAAUUUAUUUAGAUAGCAUUUUUGUUAAUUUUUAUGCUAUAUCGAAGGGCCGAUUUAUUUACUUUUUUGCCAAAGAUCUUGUCUAAAUAUUCUCUUUCAUAGUGAAAAGUUUUUAUUUGUAUAAAGAGUAUUCCCAAGAAAUUCUUAUUUUUAAAGUGCAUUUAUACCCAAGCCAAUCUACACCUUCAUCCCCCCAUGUCACUCGAGAGUCUUUUGAGCUUUCAAAGAAGCAUGGGAAAGAUGUGCGUAUGGUGGUAUGGGGAAAGGGAUGGAAGAUCCAAGAUAGGAAGGGAGGGGAACGAGGCGAAGAAAGGAGUCUAAAAAGAGAGCACAUGUAAUAUGCAUAGUUGAUUGUGUAAUUGACUUGUUUUGAUUAAAGAGCAUUGUUAUAUCUAAAAUUAGAUAUAAAUCAUUUGACGGCAAGUCAAAGGAAGGGUAAAGUGACAAAUUUGAUCGUGUGUCAUUAGGGAAAUUAAGGAACAAUGACAAAAU
This 808-nucleotide long non-coding RNA is filed under the name Olea europaea (common olive). RNAcentral's name for it is "long non-coding RNA (OEUR_LNC015643)". Lineage: Eukaryota; Viridiplantae; Streptophyta; Magnoliopsida; Lamiales; Oleaceae. The record is from RNAcentral.